This 490-nucleotide ribosomal RNA is filed under the name uncultured bacterium. RNAcentral describes it as "partial 16S ribosomal RNA". It matches the Rfam family "Bacterial small subunit ribosomal RNA", at positions 28 to 507 of the family's 1533-position model. The record is from RNAcentral.
GAUGAACGCUAGCUACAGGCUUAACACAUGCAAGUCGCGGGGCAGCAUGGGGGUUGCUUGCCAUCCCCGAUGGCGACCGGCGCACGGGUGAGUAACGCGUAUCCAACCUGCCCUUCACCACGGGCUAACCCGGCGAAAGUCGGACUAAUACCGUAUGUUGUCCAUUGACGGCAUCCGAUUUGGACGAAAGGCUUGGCGGUGAGGGAUGGGGAUGCGUCCGAUUAGCCAGACGGCGGGGUAACGGCCCACCGUGGCUACGAUCGGUAGGGGUUCUGAGAGGAAGGUCCCCCACACUGGAACUGAGACACGGUCCAGACUCCUACGGGAGGCAGCAGUGAGGAAUAUUGGUCAAUGGGCGUAAGCCUGAACCAGCCAAGUAGCGUGCAGGAUGACGGCCCUAUGGGUUGUAAACUGCUUUUAUGCGGGGAUAAAGUGGCCCACGUGUGGGCUUUUGCAGGUACCGCAUGAAUAAGGACCGGCUAAUUCCGUG